This 505-nucleotide ribosomal RNA is filed under the name uncultured bacterium. Its description in RNAcentral is "partial 16S ribosomal RNA". It matches the Rfam family "Bacterial small subunit ribosomal RNA", at positions 355 to 851 of the family's 1533-position model. The record is from RNAcentral.
UAGGGAAUCUUCCACAAUGGACGCAAGUCUGAUGGAGCAACGCCGCGUGAGUGAAGAAGGUUUUCGGACCGUAAAGCUCUGUUGUUGGUGAAGAAGGAUAGAGGUAGUAACUGGCCUUUAUUUGACGGUAAUCAACCAGAAAGUCACGGCUAACUACGUGCCAGCAGCCGCGGUAAUACGUAGGUGCAAGCGUUGUCCGGAUUUAUUGGGCGUAAAGCGAGCGCAGGCGGAAGAAUAAGUCUGAUGUGAAAGCCCUCGGCUUAACCGAGGAAUUGCAUCGGAAACUGUUUUCUUGAGUGCAGAAGAGGAGAGUAGAACUCCAUGUGUAGCGGUGGAAUGCGUAGAUAUAUGGAAGAAUACCAGUGGCGAAGGCGGCUCUCUGGUCUGCAACUGACGCUGAGGCUCGAAAGCAUGGGUAGCGAACAGGAUUAGAUACCCUGGUAGUCCAUGCCGUAAAACGAUGAGUGCUAAGUGUUGGGAGGCUUCCGCCUCUCAAGUGCUGCAG